This 1035-nucleotide ribosomal RNA is filed under the name Triticum aestivum (bread wheat). RNAcentral describes it as "partial small subunit ribosomal RNA". Lineage: Eukaryota; Viridiplantae; Streptophyta; Magnoliopsida; Poales; Poaceae. The record is from RNAcentral.
AUGGGAUGCACGGCGUCCACGCGACGUGCGGGGUGGGGCUCGCUCGUGUUCGAUGUCUCAGGGUACGGCGGAGUUAGCCUCGACGUACAAUCAUCAGAAGUAUUCACCGUCGGCGCUUACGACUGGCAGAUUCGUUUCUAUGAGGAAGGAGUGUUUGGGCAUUCCGGAGGCUAUGUGGCGGUCUAUCUCUUUUUAGUCAGCAAGAAGGCCAAGGUGAGGGCAACAUUCGAGCUCAGUUUGGUGGACAUCACUGGAUCAACGCCGCCUCGUACGAUGAGGACGGUCGACGCAGAAUUUGACUCUGGCGACCGAACGUGCUUCGGCCAUCCCGAGUUCAUGAGGAAGAGCGAGCUCGAGGCGUCGCCUUACCUUCGCGGCGAUCGCCUCACAAUUGAGUGUGCCAUCACUAUCUGCAAGGAAGCGCCGGUCUCGUCGAAAUCGUUUGCUGAGGUGCCGCCAUCCGACAUCACGGAUCACCUCAGGAAGCUGUGGCAAGGGAAAGAGGGCAGCGAUGUCACCUUCGAGGUUCAAGGGGAGGCUUUUCCUGCCCACAAGACGGUGCUCGCGAUGCGGUCGCCGGUGUUUAAGGCAGAGCUGUACGGUGCCUUGAGGGAAAAUGAUAUGGGUCGCGUUAUCAUUGGCGACAUGCAACCUGCAGUCUUCGAGGCCCUGCUCCAUUUUAUAUACACCGAUUCAUUGCCCACCAUGGAUGAUCUUUACCAAGAUCAAGAUGAAUACAAAGAGAUUAUUGGACAUUUGCUUGUAGCCGCGGAUCGGUAUGCCAUGGAAAGACUGAAGAUCAUAUGUGAAAGCAUCCUUUGCAAGAACAUAGAUGUGAAGACCGUGGUGACUACACUGGCUUUGGCUGAUCAGCAUCACUGCAACAAGUUGACUGAUGCUUGCAUUGAAUUUAUUGCCUCUUUGGGUAAAGUGGAUGAUAUAAUAGCAAGCCAGGGAUAUGCUGAGCUCAAAAGAACCUGUCCUUUGGCUUUACUGGAACUGUGGGAGAAGGCAACUAGGCUCUACAUGAUAUAG